GCUGGGCGUGGUGAUGCACACCUGUAGUCCUAGCUACUCAGGAGGCUGAGGCAGGAGGAUCACUUGAACCCAGGAGAUUGAGGCUGCAGUGAGCUAUGAUCAUGCCACUGCACUCCAGCCUGGGCGACAGAGUGAGACCCUGUCUCAA
This 148-nucleotide signal recognition particle RNA is filed under the name Chlorocebus sabaeus (green monkey). RNAcentral describes it as "Metazoan signal recognition particle RNA". It matches the Rfam family "Metazoan signal recognition particle RNA". From Rfam's summary of the family: The signal recognition particle (SRP) is a universally conserved ribonucleoprotein. It is involved in the co-translational targeting of proteins to membranes. The record is from Rfam by way of RNAcentral. Lineage: Eukaryota; Metazoa; Chordata; Mammalia; Primates; Cercopithecidae.